AUUCCCUAUAUUUUCAUUAAACAUAUAAAGCUAAUGUUUAGAAACAUAUACAUUUUUGUAAUAUUUAUUUUAUAUAUAUAUAUAUAUAAACGUUGGUUUCAACGUGUCAGCGUAGGUGUCAAUCAAUUUCAAGUUGAGGGUAUAUUUGACUUUCACUAUUAAGUUUACGUGUCUUUUAUCCUUCGCCUAAAUAGACACGUAUCACGCCCUUUCUACAUCUUCCACUCCAGUACUUCUCUGUUCGGCUUUUUCAUGCUCUUUCUCUGUUGAUUUGUACAUUGAAUUCUGAGUAAUAAUAAUAGAAAGGAACUACAAACUUUUCUUAUACAUAAGCCAGACACGGAUUUCGUGGGAAGAAGUAGGGUUCUGAAAAGAGCGAUGAUGGUGAUAGGCUGAUUUUAUCACUUUAAGCCUAUAAGCAUUUUCCCACAAUAAUCUGCAAGAAAAUAUGUGUCGAUUGUAUUAAUUUCUGUGCGAAGUCUGCUCGAUCCUCAUUUUGAGCAUUGAAAAAUGCUCUCCCCCUCUCUUAUGAUCGUCAUGAAAGAGUUUUGUUUGAAUUAUUAGAGUUUAGGAAGUGGUUCGUUGUGCUAUUUAUUCAGUCUUAGAAUAUCAAUUAGUCAAACUGAAAUUAAGUAGAAAUUAGAAGAUAUGCUUUGGGCCAUUUUUUGAUUGGGGAUUUAUGAAGAGAAUCUGGGCUUCUUUUUUUUUUUUUAGAUUUUAAAAAAAUAAGAUAAUCUGAUGUUGGAAUUAUUUGUCUGCCCCUAACUUGGAUGAGUAUCUAUUUUGCUCUGAGCAAGGACAUAAACUAUAUAUGGUGAAAUUGUUUCAGUUUUUGUUUCAUUCAGUAUCCUAUUUUGUCACUCAUGAGUAUUACUGUUGUCCAGAGAAGCUUGGCGUUGCAAGGAGGAGGGAGAUCCGCAAUCGGUGAUAGGAGGAAAGUAAACAAGAAUGAUAGUGGUAGCAAGGUGGGAGGUCAUCCUUUGCGAUGCCUCCUGGAUUUAAUAACUUGAAAAAAGCUAAGAGCGAGAACGAGACGGAUAAAUUGCAGGGUUUAAUGGAAUGGGGCGGUGAUGGGCUCAUCGGUUUGCCAAGACUAGGACUGGGUAGUAAAAAGAAGAGCAUUGCUAAGAUGUUCCAGGCAAGGCAAAUGAACAAGAAGUUGCUGAAAGCAAUGAAGACCUUUACUUUAGAAUAUUGAUUCAUUGUUUUUGGACCUUUUAGAUGUUCUGUGAAACUUUUACUUCGGAAACUUUUGUAAACUUACACUAUGUUAACUCAUGAAUUGUCAAACAAUAUUGUAUAUUUCACUUUUACAUGUGAAUAAUACUAAUCGGAUGAUUUGGAUUAUGACUUUGUUGAUGAACAUUUUACUGUCGCAGUCUAUAUAAAUUUUAUUGUA
Molecule: long non-coding RNA, 1399 nt
Organism: Lycium barbarum (goji berry)
Lineage: Eukaryota; Viridiplantae; Streptophyta; Magnoliopsida; Solanales; Solanaceae
Exons: 2
Source: RefSeq, a predicted model, not a curated record